GGAAAGGCGCGCGAUACAGGGUGACAGCCCCGUACACAAAAAUGCACAUGCUGUGAGCUCGAUGAGUAGGGCGGGACACGUGGUAUCCUGUCUGAAUAUGGGGGGACCAUCCUCCAAGGCUAAAUACUCCUGACUGACCGAUAGUGAACCAGUACCGUGAGGGAAAGGCGAAAAGAACCCCGGCGAGGGGAGUGAAAAAGAACCUGAAACCGUGUACGUACAAGCAGUGGGAGCACGCUUAGGCGUGUGACUGCGUACCUUUUGUAUAAUGGGUCAGCGACUUAUAUUCUGUAGCAAGGUUAACCGAAUAGGGGAGCCGAAGGGAAACCGAGUCUUAACUGGGCGUUAAGUUGCAGGGUAUAGACCCGAAACCCGGUGAUCUAGCCAUGGGCAGGUUGAAGGUUGGGUAACACUAACUGGAGGACCGAACCGACUAAUGUUGAAAAAUUAGCGGAUGACUUGUGGCUGGGGGUGAAAGGCCAAUCAAACCGGGAGAUAGCUGGUUCUCCCCGAAAGCUAUUUAGGUAGCGCCUCGUGAAUUCAUCUCCGGGGGUAGAGCACUGUUUCGGCAAGGGGGUCAUCCCGACUUACCAACCCGAUGCAAACUGCGAAUACCGGAGAAUGUUAUCACGGGAGACACACGGCGGGUGCUAACGUCCGUCGUGAAGAGGGAAACAACCCAGACCGCCAGCUAAGGUCCCAAAGUCAUGGUUAAGUGGGAAACGAUGUGGGAAGGCCCAGACAGCCAGGAUGUUGGCUUAGAAGCAGCCAUCAUUUAAAGAAAGCGUAAUAGCUCACUGGUCGAGUCGGCCUGCGCGGAAGAUGUAACGGGGCUAAACCAUGCACCGAAGCUGCGGCAGCGACGCUGAUGCGUUGUUGGGUAGGGGAGCGUUCUGUAAGCCUGUGAAGGUGUGCUGUGAGG
Molecule: ribosomal RNA, 922 nt
Filed under: Escherichia coli
Lineage: Bacteria; Pseudomonadati; Pseudomonadota; Gammaproteobacteria; Enterobacterales; Enterobacteriaceae
Description: partial 23S ribosomal RNA
Rfam family: Bacterial large subunit ribosomal RNA
Source: RNAcentral